This 274-nucleotide ribosomal RNA is filed under the name uncultured bacterium. RNAcentral's name for it is "partial 16S ribosomal RNA". It matches the Rfam family "Bacterial small subunit ribosomal RNA", at positions 523 to 796 of the family's 1533-position model. The record is from RNAcentral.
AUACGGAGGGUGCGAGCGUUAAUCGGAAUUACUGGGCGUAAAGCGUACGUAGGCGGUUGGUUAAGUUAGAUGUGAAAGCCCCGGGCUUAACCUGGGAACUGCAUUUAAAACUGGCGAACUAGAGUUGAGUAGAGGGGAGUGGAAUUUCAGGUAUAGCGGUGAAAUGCGUAGAGAUCUGAAGGAACACCAGUGGCGAAGGCGACUCCCUGGACUCGAACUGACGCUGAGGUACGAAAGCGUGGGUAGCAAACGGGAUUAGAAACCCUAGUAGUCC